UACGUACUGUGCGAACGUUAUUCGGAAUCACUGGGCUUAAAGGGUGCGUAGGCGGUCAUCUAAGUAGGGUGUGAAAUCCCCCGGCUCAACCGGGGAACUGCGCUCUAAACUGGAUGGCUUGAGUGAGAUAGGGGUGUGCGGAACUUCCGGUGGAGCGGUGAAAUGUGUUGAUAUCGGAAGGAACACCAGUAGCGAAAGCGGCACACUGGGUCUUAACUGACGCUGAGGCACGAAAGCUAGGGUAGCGAACGGG
This 253-nucleotide ribosomal RNA is filed under the name uncultured bacterium. Its description in RNAcentral is "partial 16S ribosomal RNA". It matches the Rfam family "Bacterial small subunit ribosomal RNA", at positions 524 to 776 of the family's 1533-position model. The record is from RNAcentral.